Molecule: ribosomal RNA, 830 nt
Filed under: Nolandella sp.
Lineage: Eukaryota; Tubulinea; Elardia; Euamoebida; Hartmannellidae
Description: bacterial SSU rRNA
Rfam family: Eukaryotic small subunit ribosomal RNA
Source: RNAcentral
CGAUUGAUCAGAUACCGUCGUAGUCUCAACCAUAAACUAUGUGGACCAACGAUCCGAGGAAGUUACAUGGAUGACUCUCCGGGCAGUUUGUGAGAAAUCAUAAGUAUUUGCAUUCCGGGGGGAGUAUGGUCGCAAGGCUGAAACUUAAAGGAAUUGACGGAAGGGCACCACCAGGAGUGGAACCUGCGGCUUAAUUUGACUCAACACGGGGAAACUUACCAGGUCCGGACACAGUUAGGAUUGACAGAUUGAGAGCUCUUUCUUGAUUCUGUGGGUGGUGGUGCAUGGCCGUUUUUAGUUGGUGGAGUGAUUUGUCUGGUUAAUUCCGUUAACGAACGAGACCUUAACCUAUUAAUUAGUUAUGCGAUCAUGAGCUUCGGCUCUUUCCGAUCGUGGACAACUUCUUAGAGGGACUCUCGGCAUCUCUAGCCGAUGGAAGUUUGAGGCUAAAACAGGUCUGUGAUGCCCUUAGAUGUCCUGGGCCGCACGCGCGUUACACUGACGAAUGCAACGAGUUCUUCCUUCUCCGAUGGGAGUGGGUAAGCUUUUCAAAGUUCGUCGUGAUGGGGAUUGAACCUUGCAAUUAUUGUUCAUGAACGAGGAAUUCCUAGUAAGCGCAGUUCAUCAAACUGCGUUGAUUACGUCCCUGCCCUUUGUACACACCGCCCGUCGCUAGUACCGAUUGAAUGGUCCGGUGAGGAUUCAGGAUGGCAGAACUUUAGCUUGCCCGAAAGGGUAAGCGGGUUCAGCCAGAAUCUGUUCAAACCGUGCCAUUUAGAGGAACUAAAAGUCGUAACAAGGUUUCCGUAGGUGAACCUGCAGAAGGAUGA